Erinaceus europaeus (western European hedgehog) is the source of this 298-nucleotide unclassified non-coding RNA. Its record names the gene 7SK. It matches the Rfam family "7SK RNA". From Rfam's summary of the family: 7SK was discovered as an abundant small nuclear RNA in the mid-70s but a possible function has only recently been suggested. NCBI's taxonomy places the organism in Eukaryota, Metazoa, Chordata, Mammalia, Eulipotyphla, Erinaceidae. The record is from Ensembl.
GGAUGUGAGGGCAAUCUGGCUACAACAUAUAUCAACAAGAGUUGAUACAACAUUGAUCACCAGAGUUUAUUCAGCUUAUCUGGCUGGCUAGGCAGGUGUCUCCUUCUUCCCUCACUACUCCAUGUAUGCAUUUUGUCAAGCAAAGACAACCAAACAGAGACAGACCAGAGGGUUUAUGAGUAGCUGUGCUCCCAUGCUGGAAUCUCCAAACAAUCUCUCAAAGUUUAGACAGACAGAAUAAGAGCUCACUAUGAUUAUUGUAUUGCCCACAAAAAUAAGAAGUUAUCAUUUUGACAUG